RNAcentral lists this unclassified non-coding RNA (428 nucleotides) under soil metagenome. RNAcentral's name for it is "partial contains 5.8S ribosomal RNA, internal transcribed spacer 2, and large subunit ribosomal RNA". The stretch from base 1 to 120 matches the Rfam family "5.8S ribosomal RNA", at positions 35 to 154 of the family's 154-position model. The record is from RNAcentral.
GAUGAAGAACGUAGCGAAAUGCGAUACGUAGUGUGAAUUGCAGAAUUCCGUGAACCAUCGAAUCUUUGAACGCAAAUUGCGCCCAAGGCCUCGGCCGAGGGCAUGUCUGCCUCAGCGUCGGCUUUACCCCUCGCACCCUUUUUCCCUUUGUUGGGUCAACUGGUGCGGAUCUGGCCCUCCCGGCUCCCAUUAUUAUUAAUGGCCCGGGUCGGCUGAAGGUGAGAGGCUUGAACAUGGACCCCGUUUGUAGGGCAAUGGCUUGGUAGGUAGGUUAGCCCCUACACGGCCUGCCGUUGCCCGAGGGGACUUUGUUGGAGGCCUAGCAGGAAUUCGGAUGUCGAUUACUCGAUCGCUCUGAACUACUUAAAUUUCGACCUGAGCUCAGGCAAGACUACCCGCUGAACUUAAGCAUAUCAAUAAGCGGAGGA